RNAcentral lists this ribosomal RNA (253 nucleotides) under uncultured bacterium. Its description in RNAcentral is "partial 16S ribosomal RNA". It matches the Rfam family "Bacterial small subunit ribosomal RNA", at positions 524 to 776 of the family's 1533-position model. The record is from RNAcentral.
UACGAAGGGGACUAGCGUUGUUCGGAAUCACUGGGCGCAAAGCGCACGUAGGCGGAUGUGUCAGUCAGGGGUGAAAUCCCGGGGCUCAACCUCGGAACUGCCUUUGAUACAGCACGUCUCGAGUCCGGAAGAGGUGGGUGGAAUUCCUAGUGUAGAGGUGAAAUUCGUAGAUAUUAGGAAGAACACCGGUGGCGAAGGCGGCCCACUGGUCCGGUACUGACGCUGAGGUGCGAAAGCGUGGGGAGCAAACAGG